Molecule: long non-coding RNA, 1275 nt
Organism: Ipomoea triloba (trilobed morning glory)
Lineage: Eukaryota; Viridiplantae; Streptophyta; Magnoliopsida; Solanales; Convolvulaceae
Exons: 3
Source: RefSeq, a predicted model, not a curated record
AAUGUAACAGCUAUCUGAUAUUUGAUUUCAGUUUUCCAUAUCUGUUAACUACUACUUAGUUUGUAAGAUCAAAUUUUUAGUUCAAAUUCAUACAUGAAAUUCUGAUUUUGUUAUUUGCAAGUGAGUGUACACAUGUUUUUUGAUAGAUAGGGAGAAAGUAUAUCUCUUCAAACAGUAAUGAAUUCAAGUAAAUGACAUGUAUUUUAUAGAUUUUGCUUGAAAUUGAAUUUCCUCUCUAUUAGGAAUGCAAAAGUUUACUGAUAUUCAAUCUCAGAUUCUUCAUAUUGGUUAAGUAGUUAAUAUUUUGUAUGAUCAACCUCUUCACUGAACUAAAUUCAUGAAUUAACAAAAUCUAACAUAGUCCUAUUUUUUCCAUCUAAAUUCUAUAUUUUUUUAAAAAAAGUUUAUAAAUUUUUUUCCACAUAUGCCUCACUUUGAAAGUAAAGUAUAUGUCCUAGUUUUUGUUAAAUACACACUAUUAAAGAUUCACAAAAAUUUGUAAUACUGAAAUACUACAUUAGAACGAAUUCAUAUCUGCCUUGUAUUCUAAUAUAUUCUUAACUGAUAAUUUCAUCCCCAAUCAAAUUACUUAUUAAUAACUUCAUAAGUUGUAAUUACACAAUUACAUUUUCAUAGAUGAUUAAGUUUGAAAUCACAACAUAUACUAACAUUGUGAGUAGAGAUCAUUAUUUACAAAUUGUUCUUUGACUUGUAUUCUUUUUUUCCCAGUUUAUAAGUUCAUGCCAGGAUAAUUUAGUUAUUAAUUAGAACUACACUUAUUUAUUGAUUACUCUUUUUAUUUAAUGAUUUACUAAUAGACAUUAGUAAUUUAAUAAGUGUUCCGUUUGAAUACAUAGCAUUUAUUAAACUAUAUUAUAAUUAGCCACAUAGUGAUAGUUUCACUCUAUAAUUAGCCACAUAGUGAUAGUUUCACUCUUUUUUUAGGAAGAAAUAAAACUGGUGCUAGAACUGAUUCUAAUCCAACAAUUGAUACCAGAUGCAUAGCAAGAUUAAAUAGAUAAGGUUCUGAAUUGAAGAUGUGCAUUCUCAAGUAUAAUCACAGGAAAAGGGCACGGCAGGUGCGAACUCGAAUUGCAUUGGGCUCAACCUGAGUUAUGAAGCAGAGCUGUGUGUAUCAGUGAUUUAUGUGAAUGGUGCAAUGUAAUUGUAUGUAUACAUAUACCCAAAAAAGUAGCAUAGAUACAACGAAAGUAAUCAUUAGGUUGUGGCUACUGCCGUGAACCUAAAUAGGCCUAAAGAGCAGUAAUCCUUUCC